Molecule: small nucleolar RNA, 80 nt
Organism: Bison bison bison
Lineage: Eukaryota; Metazoa; Chordata; Mammalia; Artiodactyla; Bovidae
Source: Ensembl
UAUACCUACAGAAAAUAGCCAAAUUUGAGCAUCAGAAGCCCACCCAGUCUACCUGAUGCAUGAUCUUUGUAGUUCUGAGA